Molecule: ribosomal RNA, 519 nt
Filed under: uncultured archaeon
Lineage: Archaea
Description: bacterial SSU rRNA
Rfam family: Archaeal small subunit ribosomal RNA
Source: RNAcentral
GCGCGAAAACUUGGCAAUGCGAGAAAUCGUGACCAGGGAACUCCAAGUGGCUGGGGUAAGACCCAGUCUUUUCUUGACUCUUCAAAGGUCUUGGAAUAAGGGGUGGGUAAGGACGGUGCCAGCCGCCGCGGUAAUACCGGCGCCUCAAGUGGUAGUCGAUUUUAUUGGGCCUAAAACGUCCGUAGCCUGUUUGGUACAUUCGUGGGUAAAUCAACCAGCUCAACUGGUUGAAUUCUGCGAGCACGGCCAGACUUGGGACCGGGAGAGGUGUGGGGUACGCUCAGGGUAGGGGUAAAAUCCUGUCAUCCUGAGCGGACCACCUGUUGCGAAGGCGCCACACUAGAACGGAUCCGACGGUCAGGGACGAAGCCUAGGGGCACGAACCGGAUUAGAUACCCGGGUAGUCCUAGGUGUAGACGCUGUGGACUUGGUGUUGGGGACUCUCCGAGAUUCCUCAGUGCCGAAGCGAAGGUGAUAAGUCCACUGCCUGGGGAGUACGGUCGCAAGGCUGAAACUUAA